CAAAGGAAUUGACGGGGGCCCGCACAAGCGGUGGAGUAUGUGGUUUAAUUCGAUGCAACGCGAAGAACCUUACCUGGUCUUGACAUCCCGGAGACCCUUAGGAAACUAGGGGGUGCUUCCAUCUGGAAGAAUCUGGAGACAGGUGCUGCAUGGCUGUCGUCAGCUCGUGUCGUGAGAUGUUGGGUUAAGUCCCGCAACGAGCGCAACCCUUGCCUUUAGUUGCCAGCAGUUCGGCUGGGCACUCUAAAGGGACUGCCGGUGUUAAACCGGAGGAAGGUGGGGAUGACGUCAAGUCCUCAUGGCCUUUAUGACCAGGGCUACACACGUACUACAAUGGCCGAUACAAAGGGUUGCCAAGCCGCGAGGUGGAGCUAAUCCCAUAAAACCGAUCGUAGUCCGGAUCGCAGUCUGCAACUCGACUGCGUGAAGUCGGAAUCGCUAGUAAUCGUGAAUCAGAAUGUCACGGUGAAUACGUUCCCGGGCCUU
This 486-nucleotide ribosomal RNA is filed under the name uncultured Desulfobulbus sp. RNAcentral describes it as "bacterial SSU rRNA". It matches the Rfam family "Bacterial small subunit ribosomal RNA", at positions 902 to 1382 of the family's 1533-position model. Lineage: Bacteria; Pseudomonadati; Thermodesulfobacteriota; Desulfobulbia; Desulfobulbales; Desulfobulbaceae. The record is from RNAcentral.